This 256-nucleotide ribosomal RNA is filed under the name uncultured bacterium. Its description in RNAcentral is "partial 16S ribosomal RNA". It matches the Rfam family "Bacterial small subunit ribosomal RNA", at positions 98 to 354 of the family's 1533-position model. The record is from RNAcentral.
CGGGACGGGUGAGUAACGCGUGGAUAACCUGCCCCAUACCGGGGGAUAACAGCCGGAAACGGCUGCUAAUACCGCAUAAGCGCACAGGAAUGCAUAUUCCAGUGUGAAAAACUCCGGUGGUAUGGGAUGGAUCCGCGUCUGAUUAGCUAGUUGGCGGGAUAGAGGCCCACCAAGGCGACGAUCAGUAGCCGACCUGAGAGGGUGGCCGGCCACAUUGGGACUGAGACACGGCCCAGACUCCUACGGAAGGCAGCAG